GUCUACGGCCACACCUAGGCGAAAACACCAGUUCCCGUCCGAUCACUGCAGUUAAGCGUCUGAGGGCCUCGUUAGUACUAUGGUUGGAGACAACAUGGGAAUCCGGGGUGCUGUAGGCUUCU
This 122-nucleotide ribosomal RNA is filed under the name Schizosaccharomyces cryophilus. Lineage: Eukaryota; Fungi; Ascomycota; Schizosaccharomycetes; Schizosaccharomycetales; Schizosaccharomycetaceae. The record is from RNAcentral.